Long non-coding RNA from Papio anubis (olive baboon), 2432 nucleotides. The record is from Ensembl. NCBI's taxonomy places the organism in Eukaryota, Metazoa, Chordata, Mammalia, Primates, Cercopithecidae.
GUGUAGUAUAUUAUGUUAUUGGAAAUAGAUGUAUCAAGAUGCUAAUGGUUUUUAUUCCAUGUUUGUGUAAGUCAUUUUUGAUUUCUAAAUUUUCAAAGAUGAUCAGUUAUUACUUUUGUGAUUUAAAAAACUAACAAACAUAUUUAAAAAUUAUCUUUUUCUUUCAUUAUCAUCCAAUUUAGAUCAUUCAGAAAAUACAAAAGCUGUAAGGAGCUGUGUGUUCAGGCUUUCUUCAUGUUGCGCAAGGAAUUCAAUUUUAGCCCAGAUCAUAAUAAACAAGUUGUACUACAGGGGGAAGUUGAAAAUGCAUGAGAGAACCUCAAUAGUUGAUACCAUAGGAUUUCUGAAAAGAGCCCUAUGGAGAGAAUGGGCUUUAAUAGGAAGAACACUUUCUCCCCUGGAGGAAAAAGCUGCAUGUAAACCCUGGUAGUUUGUAGGUGUGGCAACGGACAGGUGAGAGCAUCCUCAGCUUAUGGCUUGCAGUACUCAGUUAAUACAAGAUCACUUCCUGAAUAAGGGUUGGGCGAGAAGGCUGGAGGGUUGCUGAGAUUGCAGCAGUAUUGAUUUCAGUCUUUGUGAAGAGGGGAGGGAGAACUGACCAUCGAGAGUGAACUGCAGUUGUGAAUGAUGAACGUGGAUUAACUGUGACAUCAAUCUUCUCAGUUGUAUAAUUUCCCAUAAGGAGAACUGGGAGCUUGAUAAGUGGGUACAAAGGAAACAUAAAAAACCAAGGAGUUUGGGGUAUUUACAAAUGCAUGAUUUAAAUGAUGGGCUAGCUGGGUGAAAAAGAAGGAAUGGCAAUGUUUUCUUGCAAAGAAAGAAAGCAGAAGGGUUAAGAACGAAGUUCUCUCUACGAGAUUGAACCUCAGUUCUGUGGAGGUCAUUGUAUGUAGGAUGGAAUGAUGGGAAGCUGUGGCUGAAAAGUUGAAUAUUUUGAUUUGUAAUUUAGACCAGAAGCAGUCCAGGGUGGGAUGGUAGGGGAGGGUGGUUGUGAUAGAAUAAACAGAAGUUAAUUUUAGUCUAGGAAGUCAUUAAAUCUGCAAGUAAGUUUGUCAGGGCAACUUCAUAUGGGUGCUGAGGCAGCCCGGAAUUACAGUCAGAGAUGCAGAGGAAGGCUACAGCCACACGGAGGCAUCUUCAUCAACUGACGAAUGUCUCGGAGGGCUGGAGAUGACAGCAAUAGGGAGGUUGAGAAGGGGCAGUGCAGGGUGGUCCUACGCUCAAAGAAACCAAACACUUUAUAGAGAAAGAGCAAUGGGAUAAAAAGCACAGAAAAUUCACAAAGCAAGAAUUAUGUUCCUACUUUCUGACCUUAGAAAAAAGAACAAAAGUGCUAAAGAGAAAUGUUAUCUUCAGAGAUCCAUAGGUUUUCUGUAAGACAAGGGAAAUGGAGGGACUGUUGUGGAAAAGGGUUGAAGAUGUAGCCAAAUGGCUGAUGACUAAGAAGGCCCAGAGGGCAUUGAGUCAGGUUAGGGAGAGGGGGAGAAAUGUAGGUUUGUUCAGGAAACACAGGGACAACAGUAAGGGAUAGGCUACAUGAGGUCUUCUCUCUUGGAAGACACUGGUAUCCGGCCUGACACUUGCUCUCUGGCCUGGGAGAGGUUUCUGUUCUAGGGGUCCACGGCCUUUUCUGUGGGUCCAGUGAUGCUGACAGCUGCCACAGGUGAAGCCACAGUGAUGGGGCCCAGCCCUGUGUUGGAGGGGUGUUGACUGGGAAAGAGGCUUACUGAUUGAUACUGUGUUUUUCUCACUUUUCAUCUACCAGUCCACCUGUGUCCAUGAGGCUCAUGAUCUUGACAGUCUUGUAGAGUUGGGAAGGGAGUGCUUGGUGUUUUAUUAAUGAACAAAGUCCACCUAAGAUUUACUCACUAGUGAUGUUUACUUUUUUUGUUUUGUUUUUCUGAGACAGAGCCUCACUCUGUCACCCAGCCUGGAGUGCAGUGGCGUGAUCUCAACUCACUGCAACCUCUGCCCCCACGUUCAAGCAAUGCUCUUGCCUCAGUCUCCCAAAUAGCUGGGAUUAUAGGUACCCACAACCAUGCCCAGCUAAUUUUUUAUUUUUAGUAGAGAUGGGGUUUCACCAUCUUGGCCAGGUUGGUCUUGAACUUCUAACCUCGGCCUCCCAAAGUGCUAGGAUUAUAGGCGUGAGCCACCGCGCCUGACCAAUGUUGACUUUUUAAAAGAAUGAAAUUUCCAUUUUUAUAGUCACUCAAAGCAAUUCCUCAGCAAGGUCCUGGUAAAUGGAGGCUUCCCAGACUGUUUCAGAUAGCAGCACUACAGAGCCUACAUCACUGAUGAACCAUUCUCUGUGAGUAAAGCACUGGAUUUGGAAGCAGAUUUAGAGAUGGUUCUCUUGCACAUUCCUUUUCUCUACGAAGUUACAGUCCAUCAUUCGUAUCAUUCAUUUGGCUUGCCUUGCCUCCAGAAAACUU